UGUGAGGUGCCUGCAACAGCAGCAGGAACUCAAACACGUCCAACCGCUUCCCCCUGCACCUUAGGGCUCUUCCACCCGCCGCCGGUCCCAAUAUGGCGUCAAUAACAACGCCGCUGAUUCAAAUCCUGCGGCCUUAGGGCGCGUGCGCAUAGGGGCGGGCCUACCGAGCAUGCAUUCUGGGAAUUGUGGUAUUUCCCUAUGGGUAGAUAGCUGUGUGAAAAGCAGUUAAGGAGGAGUCACAGAAACUAUGACUCCCAUCAUGCAAACUGCUCAAUUCCGAGUUCCGGGUUGAAAUUUAAAUCCCCCUUCCACAGCUAAAGACUACAAGGAACUGAGCAAAAGAGAAAAAAGAAAAAUGCUGUGAGACAGUGGGAGACAGGGAAGAGAACCGGUGGGGAGAGCAAGCUAAGCAACAGAGAGACCUGUAAGACUCAGAACAUAGUUGCUCCCACAAUGACUGCACCGGAAAUAGAAAAGAGCCAACCUAAUAGUACAAGAAAUUAAUUUUGGUAGCUGCUUGAAUACAUAUUAAAUUUUCCAAAGCCAUCUUUGCCUCUGUAAAUGAAUAGGAUUUGAACUAAGUACAGAACGAAGUUGUUUUGCUCUGGAUAAAAAGCGAGUGAUGCCAGAAAUUGCAUUAUCAGUUUAAUUUGGUGUACAUCUGGUGAACAUUAACACACCUAAAACAAAUCAAAAGUCAUGAGAAAAUCACUAGGAUAAUCCAACACCUCAAGAUCGGAAGUCUUGAUCACACUGUGUCAACAAGCUAUGCUAAUUUUAAUUUAGAAUAUUAUACUUUUUGAAAAAUUCUUCUGAAAAAGACCAGCAUUUAAUGAAACAAUAGUUUGAUUAUGACACCUACUAAGUAAACUUUUACCAAAUUCUAGGUACUCCAUAAAAUCCAUGAUACUAUGAAAUUAAUAGAAUACUCAAUUUUAUGUAAAUGAGUAGAAAAAUAUUCUUGGUAAAUAAUUUUUUGAAAUUAAGAAUUGUUCUUACAUUAUAGAGAAAGUGAGUGUUAUAAACUGAAUUGUGUUCCCUCAAAAUGCACAUGCUCGAGUCCCCAGUACCUCAGAAUGUGACUUUGUUUGAAAAUAGGGUCACUUUCUAAUUAAUUCUUUAAGAUGAAAUCAUACUGGAGUUGGGUGGGCCCCCUAGUCCAACAUGACUAAUAUCCUUCUGAAAAGUGAAAAUGUGGACAAAGGUAGAAGGUAGAGACAUGAAGGUAUAGGUUAAAAUGAUACCUUUACAAACCAAGGAAUAUCAAUGAUAGCCGGCAAGCCACUAGAAACUAGGAGAGAGACACUAAACAAAAUAGUCCUCGCAGUCCUCAGAAGGAACCAACCUGAGGACACUCCAUCUUAGAAUUCUAUUCUCCUAAUUCUGUGAGACAGUAAUUUUCUGUUGUUUAAUCUACCUGGUCUGUGGUACUUUGUUAUGGCAGCUGUAGAAAACUAAUACAGUGGGAUUGUGAUUAUCUUUUGAGAUUCUCUAGGCUGCCUAGAAAAUGAAAAAAAAGUUUGCAUUUAUUACGUGUGUGGGGAGAUAUGAUUAAACUGUUAAAUUUAUCAGAUAA
Molecule: long non-coding RNA, 1576 nt
Organism: Heterocephalus glaber (naked mole-rat)
Lineage: Eukaryota; Metazoa; Chordata; Mammalia; Rodentia; Bathyergidae
Source: RefSeq, a predicted model, not a curated record